This 645-nucleotide ribosomal RNA is filed under the name bacterium HN2-1-8. Its description in RNAcentral is "bacterial SSU rRNA". It matches the Rfam family "Bacterial small subunit ribosomal RNA", at positions 338 to 974 of the family's 1533-position model. The record is from RNAcentral.
CCUACGGGAGGCAGCAGUAGGGAAUCUUCCACAAUGGACGAAAGUCUGAUGGAGCAACGCCGCGUGAGUGAUGAAGGUUUUCGGAUCGUAAAACUCUGUUGUAAGGGAAGAACAAGUACGUUAGGAAAUGAACGUACCUUGACGGUACCUUAUUAGAAAGCCACGGCUAACUACGUGCCAGCAGCCGCGGUAAUACGUAGGUGGCAAGCGUUGUCCGGAUUUAUUGGGCGUAAAGCGCGCGCAGGUGGUUUCUUAAGUCUGAUGUGAAAGCCCACGGCUCAACCGUGGAGGGUCAUUGGAAACUGGGAGACUUGAGUGCAGAAGAGGAAAGUGGAAUUCCAAGUGUAGCGGUGAAAUGCGUAGAGAUUUGGAGGAACACCAGUGGCGAAGGCGACUUUCUGGUCUGUAACUGACGCUGAGGCGCGAAAGCAUGGGGAGCAAACAGGAUUAGAUACCCUGGUAGUCCAUGCCGUAAACGAUGAGUGCUAAGUGUUAGGGGGUUUCCGCCCCUUAGUGCUGCAGCUAACGCAUUAAGCACUCCGCCUGGGGAGUACGACCGCAAGGUUGAAACUCAAAGGAAUUGACGGGGGCCCGCACAAGCGGUGGAGCAUGUGGUUUAAUUCGAAGCAACGCGAAGAACCUUAC